GGGUUCUUAGCUCAGUUGGUAGAGCAGCGGACUCUUAAUACGUAGGUCGUAGGUUAGAAUCCUACAGGACCCACCA
RNAcentral lists this transfer RNA (76 nucleotides) under Hylemonella sp. RNAcentral describes it as "tRNA-Lys". It matches the Rfam family "tRNA". Rfam says of the family: Transfer RNA (tRNA) molecules are approximately 80 nucleotides in length. The record is from RNAcentral. Lineage: Bacteria; Pseudomonadati; Pseudomonadota; Betaproteobacteria; Burkholderiales; Comamonadaceae.